UACGUAGGGUGCGAGCGUUAAUCGGAAUCACUGGGCGUAAAGCGUGCGUAGGCGGUCCGCGAAGUCUGAUGUGAAAGCCCCGGGCUCAACCUGGGAACUGCAUUGGAAACUAACGGGCUCGAGUGUGGCAGAGGGGGGUGGAAUUCCACGUGUAGCAGUGAAAUGCGUAGAGAUGUGGAGGAACACCGAUGGCGAAGGCAGCCCCCUGGGCUAACACUGACGCUCAGGCACGAAAGCGUGGGGAGCAAACAGG
RNAcentral lists this ribosomal RNA (253 nucleotides) under uncultured bacterium. Its description in RNAcentral is "partial 16S ribosomal RNA". It matches the Rfam family "Bacterial small subunit ribosomal RNA", at positions 524 to 776 of the family's 1533-position model. The record is from RNAcentral.